UAGCUACUUGCAUCAUUGUAAAAAUGAUGCAGGAUCGACUAUGUCGAAUAAAAUUCUAGGUAGAAUUUUGAUAAUGACAUUGUCUGCCUAUGUGUCUUGACCAAAUUACGUGCCAGCAGUCGCGGUAAUACGUAGAAGACUAGUGUUAUUCAUGUUUAAUCGGUUUAAAGGGUACCUAGACGGUAAAUCAAGCCUAAAAUUAAGUGAAGGGACUAAUUUACUAGAGUUACUUAUGAGGGGGUAUUAAAGUACUGCUGGUGUAGAGAUGAAAUUCUGUCAUACCUCUUUUCAAUAGAAAAAUAAUGGCACAGGUAUAGGCGAAAGCAUCCCCUUAUGUGAUAACUGACGUUGAGGGACGAAGGCUUUGUGUAGCGAACAGGAUUAGAUACCCCAGUAGUCAAAGCAGAAAAUGAUGAAUGUCAUAGAUUAGAUAAAUAAGUUUAUUCUAUAAAUGAAAGUGUAAGCAUUCCACCUCAAGAGUAAUUUGGCAACAUUGGAACUGAAAUCAUUAGACCGUUUCUGAAACCAGUAGUGAAGUAUGUUGUUUAAUUUGAUGAUCCGCAAAAAACCUUACCACAAUUUGAAUAUUUAUAUCUUUUAUUGUUUUUUUUUAUUUUUCUUCUGAUUUUCAUUGUAUGAUUUUCUUCUUAUUCUAUUUGCAUGUGCAUGCACAUGCAAAAGAACGAAAUUGAGCUAAUCCCCCAAAACUGGAAAA
RNAcentral lists this ribosomal RNA (715 nucleotides) under Hypogymnia lugubris var. lugubris. Its description in RNAcentral is "SSU rRNA". It matches the Rfam family "Bacterial small subunit ribosomal RNA", at positions 379 to 1289 of the family's 1533-position model. The record is from RNAcentral. Lineage: Eukaryota; Fungi; Ascomycota; Lecanoromycetes; Lecanorales; Parmeliaceae.